Long non-coding RNA from Prinia subflava (tawny-flanked prinia), 567 nucleotides. RefSeq lists it as uncharacterized. The transcript has 3 exons. The record is from RefSeq and is a predicted model, not a curated record. NCBI's taxonomy places the organism in Eukaryota, Metazoa, Chordata, Aves, Passeriformes, Cisticolidae.
GUGGGAAGGGUAAAGAGCUUGUGAAGGUAUGGAGUGGAAGGAGAUACAGGAAGAACAGGACCUAGAGCAAGGAGAAAACAAGAGCAUGGAUAGGAGAAUCUUCAUUGCAGGAAGCCAGAGCCAUCUGUGUGGACCAUGUGAUGUGCAGCCAUGUUACAUCUGGUGCAGCAGCCUAAUCCUGCAUUUCUGCAGCCUGCAGUGCCUCACAAAAGUCUCAGUCCUGGAAGAAGCCUUGUCUACUGAAAAUGCACAAGUGUUUCCUGAACUACUUUCUCAAAUCACAGGAUAACACUGCCAGUUCUGAACCGUAUGGGAAGAAACCAGGGGGUUUUGGCUUAUUUGCAGAGCUCCCAGGGCAGCAAAUCUUGGUCCCUGCCUGAGCACUCCUUCAGCACAAAUAGUACAUGGUAAUUACCAGUCAUUAGGACUGGGAGUGAAUGGAGUAAUUUUAAAUUUAGGAUAACUCUGACCUCAGUUUCUGUCAGCUCAUUUUCUCCCUUCCUCUACUCUCAACUGAUCUAAACCUUCCCUAGAGUUUUUAGGAAAUGCUGGUGUGCCAGCUGCUAA